GCCAUGGGUACCAGGCUCCUCUGCUGGGUGGCCCUCUGUCUCCUGGGGGAAGAACUCACAGAAGCUGGAGUGGCCCAGUCUCCUAGAUAUAAGAUUAUAGAGAAAAAACAGCCUGUGGCUUUUUGGUGCAAUCCUAUUUCUGGCCACAAUACCCUUUACUGGUACCGGCAGAACUUGGGACAGGGCCCGGAGCUUCUGAUUCGGUAUGAGAAUGAGGAAGCAGUAGACGAUUCACAGUUGCCUAAGGAUCGAUUUUCUGCAGAAAGGCUCAAAGGAGUAGACUCCACUCUCAAGAUCCAGCCUGCAGAGCUUGGGGACUCAGCCAUGUAUCUCUGUGCCAGCAGCUUAGCCACAGCGUAGCAGAGACACUUCCCUCCUGUGCAGAAAACUGCAGGACUCUCUCCUCUCUACUCAGCUCACAGCAGCCUUUCCUUAUUCCUCAUCCUCCCAGGGAAGAAGUGA
Non-coding RNA from Pongo pygmaeus (Bornean orangutan), 462 nucleotides. The record is from the annotation of a RefSeq genome assembly. NCBI's taxonomy places the organism in Eukaryota, Metazoa, Chordata, Mammalia, Primates, Hominidae.